ACUUUCCAUGAUGACCGUUGAGUGAGAGAAGAUGAUGGCAGCUCCUGCGUUUAAAAAGGAACCAUCCGCGUAACUGCCACAGGCAGGGCCCGUGCUCGGGCAGUGAGGCCUCGGCCCUGAGAAGGCCCGGACCCCACAGGCCUGGCCCUGGCUGAGAGGGAGUUGGAGUCCCCCGCCUGGGGCAGCCCCUCUGCACCUGGGGUGGUGGAGCAGGAGCUUGGCUGCAGGCGGGGCUUUCCUCCCAGCUCUGGGAGCCACCUUGCUGCAAACGCUGUGACUGCAACCUCUGCCACCCAGGUUCAAGCGAUUCUCCCGCCUCAGCCUCCCGAGUAGCUGGGAUUACAAGGCACCUGACACCAUGCCCAGUUAAUUUUUGUAUUCUUCCUAGAGACGGGGUUUCACCAUGUUACUCAGGAUGGUCUCAAACUCCUGAUCUCAGAUGAUCCGCACGCCUCCACCUCCCAAAGUGCUGGGAUUACAGGCGUGAGCCACCAUGCUCGGCCUAGGUGACUUUUCAUGGGGAGAUAACACACAGGCAUGGUGAGCAGCGUGGCAGAGGACCUGUGUGCAGGGCCGUCUCCCGCCGGGGAAUCCUUCAUCUGGGAAAUCUCCGCUGCGGGACAGGAAUGCUGUGUGUCACUGAAAUGCUGCAGGAGACUGGGCAGUCUGUCUCCACAGUCAGGGAAAGAGCAGCAGGACGCAGCGUCUCUCCAGGGCACCCGGGCCUCCUCUGAGCCUCUUUACGCUCUUUGGCUGCGUGCUUUCUUCUCUGUGGCAAAAGCAACACAGGCGGGUACAAACCCGAACAGUGCAGACAUGGAGGAGACAGAAAGUGAAAAUGGUUUCUGAGCCCCUCUAGCCACCCUCUGGGGACACCAGCCUGGCGUUCUUCAGACACAAGCACUCCCUGCAGCCAGGAAGAGGAGGAGGCAGCUGGGUCUUGGGCGCAGAGGGACCACCCUGUGAGGACAUAGGGAGCAGGUUAGAUCUGCCUGUCCCGGAAUUUCACCUGAAUCACAAAGCGUGGCGCCUCGGGGCCUGGCUCCCUUCACGUGGCCUGAUGUCUGCAUAUUCAUCCGCCAUGCAGUGUGUGUCCACGGUUCAUUUUGUGUUGCCACGUAGCAUCUCAUUGUGUGGCCCUAGCCCAGUGUGUUAAUCCGUUCACCUGCUGGUGGGUGUUGCAGUGGUUUCCAGCUCUUGGUUAUCACAGAGAAAGUGACUGUGAACUUCCGCACACACGUUUUGCUGAGGACAACUCCUUCCAUUUCACUUGGUUACUAGGAGUGGAGUUGCGGGGUCCUAGGGAAGGGUCCACGUCUGACAAGUCCACCAUGGCUGCCCUUCUGGGCCUGUUGCUGCUGACUCACGUUCCCACGGCCACCUUUCCCUGCGUCUGGACAUAGCAGCAAUUUCUCGUUGGAUGUGGACAUUGUGCUGUGACGG
Pan troglodytes (chimpanzee) is the source of this 1443-nucleotide long non-coding RNA. RefSeq lists it as uncharacterized. The record is from RefSeq and is a predicted model, not a curated record. Lineage: Eukaryota; Metazoa; Chordata; Mammalia; Primates; Hominidae. The transcript is spliced from 4 exons.